RNAcentral lists this unclassified non-coding RNA (1815 nucleotides) under Mizuhopecten yessoensis (Yesso scallop). RNAcentral describes it as "uncharacterized protein YMR317W-like, transcript variant X1". Lineage: Eukaryota; Metazoa; Mollusca; Bivalvia; Pectinida; Pectinidae. The record is from RNAcentral.
UAAUAAGUCAUAAAAGUGGGCCACUUCACACAUUGUUAUUAGUGAGACACGUGAUGGUGCUGAUAUACCGCCACACAGACCAAGGAACUCCAUGUUACUACUGCAAGUGUCCUGGCUUCCAUCAUCACCAUGAUGUCCGUCGGUCAUUUUGUUAUCUUGUCGCUUGUGUACGGAAUCAUGGAGGUAAUGGCUGGUGGUACGGUGUACAUCCGGUUUCUCUCUUACUCCAACCCCUCACACAAAGACGCCACAGGCCAGUGCUGUGAGAGUCUGAGUACCAGCGGAUGUGGUGCCAACGAGUGUGAUCCGUUCUUCAAAAUAUGUGUGGGACUUCUGUCCAGUUCUGGGUGUGAGUACGGUAGUGUGAAGACAGAGGUGUACGACAAUACGGACACCAUCAGGUUCGGCAAUGUCAUCAGAACCAUGCCUAAUCCCAUCGUAAAGACAUUCAACAAUUGGGGGUCCGGAAUACACGUGAAAGUAGACGUACUUGACAGAGAUGGGACGACUUUUUUGGGUAGUGAUGACCUAAUCGGAUCAGUAGAUCACCAAAUAACAGGACCUGUUGACCAAAACGGCAUACUGCUGCACAAUACCACCAAGCCUAUCAAAGGAGGGGCAGCUGAAUUGGUUAUACAGUACAGAAUUGUGUGUGAGCAGCAUUACUAUGGCGACUGUUCCGUAUCGUGUCGACCAUUGCUACCCAAGUACAACUGUAGUAGUAGCGGCCAAAAACUAUGCUUACCAGGAUGGGUGGGAUUCCGGUGUAGUAUACCAGACCACUCCUGUGUAACAAAACCUUGUCACAAUGGUGGUACUUGUACAGAUAUCCCAACCAACAAAUACCUAUGUACCUGUCUGAACGGAUGGACAGGACAGACCUGCGAGACGUUUGCGCUGCCUCCAUCAACGAAGACAACCAUUGUCACUUCCAAAACGUCAACACAAACAGCCGUGACGUCAUCAACUCCGUCUACAAUACAAGGAGCAGUUACGUCAUCAGCACAGAAACUAGACACGUCAACAUCCCAAAGACAAUCCAUGUCAACAACACAAAAACGAUCGACAUCGACAACAAAGAAAGCACUGACGUUAACAACACAGGAACAAACUACGUCUUCAACACAAGGACAUAAUAUUAAUAAUACGCUGUUUUCCUCAACACCACAAACAGUUUCACAAAAUGUUUCUUCAAAAACAGCAACAUCCGACACUAAAAGUACAUCUUCUUGGCUGGUAAAUAGUACGUCGCCUGAAGCCACAACGUCCAACAUAGCAACGCCCACAACACCAAGCCAAAAUACUACAGGUGCAUCAUGUCACUUUAAGAUGGCUUCCAGCCUUAUAAAUGGAACAAACAUUACCCGGGUACAGCUCUCUGGCAUCAACAGGAAGGAGUUGACUGCUGCAGAUGUAAAACGAAUACUAGAACAAACGGUCCAUCCUACCAGUCUUCGUCCGGUAUCACUCGACGAUAGUGUCAUGGUUUUUGACAUGGAAAUAACCUACAACGUGUCUACGAUUACCAGCAAGCUCCUUCCACGUGUACAGAGAGAAUUGUGUCGAAUGGAAACAAAGGUUCUGCCACAGGUCGGGAGGCCAGUGAAGCCGGGGAGGCGAGCUCCGAUAACUCCGAUAACUCCGAUAACUCCGGGCCAGUUAUUGGUGGGGUACUAGGAGCUCUCUUCCUCAUCGCUAUCCUCGGUGUGGCCGCGUUCUUCUUAUACAGAUGGAAUAAGAAAAGAAAUAAAGUGACGGGUGAAAAGAUUGACAACGAGUGCUCUUCAACGAGUGAAAUACGGAACAAGAUCUCGG